This 394-nucleotide ribosomal RNA is filed under the name uncultured bacterium. Its description in RNAcentral is "bacterial SSU rRNA". It matches the Rfam family "Bacterial small subunit ribosomal RNA", at positions 505 to 898 of the family's 1533-position model. The record is from RNAcentral.
GUGCCAGCCGCCGCGGUAUACGUAGGGGGCAAGCGUUGUCCGGAUUUAUUGGGCGUAAAGAGCGUGUAGGCGGCUAGGUAGGUCCGUUGUGAAAACUCGAGGCUCAACCUCGAGACGUCGAUGGAAACCAUCUAGCUAGAGUCCGGAAGAGGAGAGUGGAAUUCCUGGUGUAGCGGUGAAAUGCGCAGAUAUCAGGAAGAACACCCGUGGCGAAGGCGGCUCUCUGGUACGUGACUGACGCUGAGACGCGAAAGCGUGGGGAGCAAACAGGAUUAGAUACCCUGGUAGUCCACGCCGUAAACGAUGGGUGCUAGGUGUGGGGGGUGUCGACUCCCUCCGUGCCGAAGCUAACGCAUUAAGCACCCCGCCUGGGGAGUACGGCCGCAAGGCUAAA